AUAUAUCACGAUUUUCUAUCAUGAUUUGCAUUGAUAUAAGUAAGUAUAACACAUAUAUUUUACUCUUAACUUAGCCAUACAUUGCGGAUUUACUUAGUAGAUAGAGUAAUGUUUUUUUUUAAACAACAAAUUUUAUUCAUAAGCUAACCCAACACAAGAAGUGAAGAGGCUAGAGGAAACACACAAGACAACAGAUACAUAAAGACAACUAAACCACCCAAACAAUCCUUAAUACAAUAGAAUAACAUCAGAAAAACCAGCCACCUAAACUUCCUAGUACCAUGAAACAAUGUCAGGUCGCGUUGAUUUUUAGGCUGGAGGGCAAUGUUUGUUUCGGAAGUUCUCGACUUUCUUCAACAAAGGGUAGUGCUUUUUGCAGAAAUCGGGUAUAUGGGGUAUAUGUACUGGUUUAUCUUUUGGGAUUAAAUUUUUGAUUUUUGGGAUUAAUGCUUCAACUGCGGGACCAAAGCUAACAGCAUCAGCAAAAUGUUGUUGAGGAGCAAGCAUAAAAGCAGCAAGGAAUAACACUAAUAAGGAUAAGAAAAAUGAAUUAGCCAUUUUAAGAAGUGAUAUAAUUAUUAGUGUUGGUGCAUAAUACAUAUGGAGUAUACUGGUUUUAUACUAGUUAGAGACUCAAUGUGAGUUUAUGGUCGAUCUAAGUCAUUUACUAAAUGUCAAAAUUGUGUAUGAAUUGAAUUAUUCAACAAUGUUACAAGUUCCAUGUAGUUGCUACUAGUUUAUGAAUUGAAUUAUUCAUUCGAUUCUCCGCGCGACUCAGGUGCAUGCCGAAACCGUUUUAAUUAUAUGAGCAAAUUAAUAAAUAAAUGGGUUGGUGCUUAUGAUGGUGCUAAGCGUUUGCAAGGAAGCGGUUGGUCGAAAGAUGAUGUUUUGGAAAAAGCCCAUGAAUUAUAUGUGAAACACCCCGUUUUCCCAACUUGAAUUUUUUUGCAUAAAUCAGAGUAAAACAACUAAACAGGAUGCUGCACUUCUUUCAAAUCUGAAUAUAGUAAAAUUACUAAUUAUCUCAAUCAUCAAAUUAAAUCUUAUUGCAGCGGAAAUUAGUUCAACGUUUAAAACAACCUUGGCACAAAGGCCUCAAUGUAAAAUCUCAUAAAAUUAUUCCAACAACAUGUUCAUAAAACUUCAUAAAAUAAUACGUAAGGAACGUAAAGCAACAACAAAAUUCUCAUCCCGUUACGUAUCAGAGCACCUAAGACACACGUGAGAGAAUCCACUCACGACCGCAACUAUUCUUGGUUACCUGCAAGUUACUCAAUUGUGAGGGCAACAUUUCCAAGCAGAAGGGGUGAGAUUUCACAUUCAAUAAUAAUAAGCAUAUAAUUCAUCAAAUUCAUUUAACAACUUAAACUUCAUCAAUUAGUAACACUAACUCUUCGCAUAAAUACUUCAUUAAUUAAUAACAUUAACUCUUCCUAUAAGACUUCAUUAAUAACUCAAUCAACUUCUAAUCAUCAUUAACUUCAUAUUCAUCACAUUAUAUACAACGUCAUACAGCACGUAAUAAUCAAAUCAUAAACAUCAUCAUAUAAAAACCUAAUCAUCACAUCAUAAACAUCAUCUUAUAACAUCAUAUAGUUCACAUCAUAAACAUCAUCAUAUAACAACAUAAACAUCACAACAUAAACAUGAAAUAAGGUUAUAAGGUUGCACUCAAAAAGUUUUAGUGAUAGUCAACUAUGAGAAUAGGUCUAAUUACUGUUGAGAUACAUUCAUGUAAUCUUAUAGGAAACAUGAAAUACCAAAGAACAUCUUGUCCUUAGAAAUGAAUAGAGAAAUAGAUAUGGAAUGUUUAGGAUUUAACUUUAUGAUGAAAACCGCAAUCUCAUGACGCAUUUUUAUAUCUAAAUUUUAAUCAAAAAAAAUAAUUGCACUUAAUCAAUUUAUUUUUUUCAGCUAAUCAAAACUAAAAAUUAGAUUAGUAUUUACUUAAAGUCCAUGUGAAUCGAUAUUUUACUAGAACCGUACACUUGCGUAAACCUAUCAAAGACCCUAUUGAUGUAUAUGGAAUCGUAGUUACCUAUCAAAGCUACAAAAAAAAUUAGAUCGGAAUUGGGGUCUUUCUGACCAUUCUUGAAGUCGAAGGGGGUUCGUUUACUGGAUGUAGCAUCGAAGGCUUGAGUGAAGAGUUCGAAGGGGUGCACGGGUAUUCAAGGAUCUGAAGAUUCAAGAAGCACCAAAUUUAAGGGUUACUUGGAGUUUGGGGGAGUGUUUUACAUAGGAGUUGAAGAAUUAGGUUUUAAUUUCAAGGAACUUUUGUAAACACAUUUGUAUUCAACUAUUAUAAAAAUAUCGGUGUUAUCUCUCUUUCCCUAUCCUCUUUACUUUUAGCUAUUGCAUGUGAUUAAUUGAAUAAUUUUUAGAAUAAUUGCUAGUGUUGAUCUAAGUUAUUUUUCAUUGAAAAUCAAUCUAAUUCAUUGAAUUAGGUUUCAUAUAAUUUGCUUAGAUCAAUUGAUUGAAAAAUCUAUUCAAUUCUUCAAUUACACAUGUAUUGUGUUUUUGAUUUGAUAACUUAGUAAUUUUGUUCAUGUAGGUUUGGUUUGAAAUUGUCUAUUGUUUUGUACAUUGUUCAAGGAAUAUUAAAGUUUGAUUGUAUAAUAAGAUUUGUAUCGUGAAUCUCUCAAUUCUAAGAUUAAGUCUCAUUGCACAUAUAUUUGACCUUUUGAUUCCUUGAUUGUCAUUGUUCGACCACGAAUCCAAUAGUCAAUUUUGUUGAGAGAGAGAGAGAGAGAGAGAGAUUGGAUGGACGGGUGAUAUUAGUGCAGAACACAGCAAAAGAGAAUCGAAAAAAGAGGAUCUUGAUCCUUUUCUAAAGGAGAAUCAACCAUCUAUAUAAUGACAAUUUUAAACCCAUCAAGUACAAAAAUAACGAGCAAGGUGAAAAUAUAAACGUAACAUUGAACUAUUUUAUUAAAUGAUAAUAAACUUCAAAGGGUAAAAUUGGUUUUUAGAUAAACAUAUAAGGGGUUACUAAAAAGGGUUACAAGUUUUUUUUUUUUUUUGAAAGAAGGGAUACAAAUUAUAAGCUUGCGAAGAAAAGACGGUUAUCAAACACAGCCUAUGCAGCUCAUGAAGCUGCCAUAAAAAUUUUAAUAGUGGGGGAUGUUUAAUGAAGAUUAGUAGUAGUGUUACGUUAUUCAUGGAGCUAUAGUUAUAAAUAAUUUUAAAGUGGGUAAUGUUUAUUGAAGAUAGGGAGAUCGAAGCGGAAAUGCUGAAAAAUGAUGAUGGAAAAAUAUAAAUCGAUAUUAUCUUUUAUUUUAGUCAGAAUUUAAAUUUGGUAUUUUUCAGUAUCCAUGUCGGCGAUUUUGACUAAUUUUGAUUAAGUAAACGUCUUAGUUGACUUCAAUGACUAAAGUAACUAAGAACAAAGAGUGAAUGAUUUAAUUCGGGUUUUAUCUAAGUCAUUGACCAAAAUUACAUCUUGUUACACUUUUAAGGAGAAAAAUGGUUGUUUUCCCAAUAAUGUUUUCCAAUAUUAAAUUAAUGUUGUUUUCUGCCUUAGGGAUGUUACCAAUUUGUUAUGUUGGAGUUACCUUUAGUGCUAAGAAACCUUUAGACCAAUAAAAAUAUUUUGAGUCCCUUUUAAAGUGGUAAAUACACUAAUAUAAAGUCAUUGUCAAUUGAUGUUAGGACUAUUUAUUAAGAAUGCAAUAUUUACUUGUUGUUCUUUGGUAGACACUUAGAGUUCAUUUUUGUGGACUGUAUGAACUUGGUUAUAUCAUAGUUAACGUCGUAUUAGACAAACGGAAAUGAAAGACUCAUCUCUCACUCUACUUAGGACUAGCCAAUUGUCAAACUUGGUUACAAUUUAUUUUGUUUGGAAAACUUAAUUUGAAUUUUCUACAUGUCAUGAAAAAUUCAAAUUUCUGUUUUCUGAUUAGAAGAUCAAUAAACGGUUCAAUAUCAUCACAAUCUCCAAAUCAUAACUUCAUUCAUUUGCAAAUCUAGAGCACAUAUAUCACGAUUUUCUAUCAUGAUUUGCAUUGAUAUAAGUAAGUAUAACACAUAUAUUUUACUCUUAACUUAGCCAUACAUUGCGGAUUUACUUAGUAGAUAGAGUAAUGUUUUUUUUUAAACAACAAAUUUUAUUCAUAAGCUAACCCAACACAAGAAGUGAAGAGGCUAGAGGAAACACACAAGACAACAGAUACAUAAAGACAACUAAACCACCCAAACAAUCCUUAAUACAAUAGAAUAACAUCAGAAAAACCAGCCACCUAAACUUCCUAGUACCAUGAAACAAUGUCAGGUCGCGUUGAUUUUUAGGCUGGAGGGCAAUGUUUGUUUCGGAAGUUCUCGACUUUCUUCAACAAAGGGUAGUGCUUUUUGCAGAAAUCGGGUAUAUGGGGUAUAUGUACUGGUUUAUCUUUUGGGAUUAAAUUUUUGAUUUUUGGGAUUAAUGCUUCAACUGCGGGACCAAAGCUAACAGCAUCAGCAAAAUGUUGUUGAGGAGCAAGCAUAAAAGCAGCAAGGAAUAACACUAAUAAGGAUAAGAAAAAUGAAUUAGCCAUUUUAAGAAGUGAUAUAAUUAUUAGUGUUGGUGCAUAAUACAUAUGGAGUAUACUGGUUUUAUACUAGUUAGAGACUCAAUGUGAGUUUAUGGUCAAUCUAAGUCAUGUACUAAAUGUCAAAAUUGUGUAUGAAUUGAAUUAUUCAACAAUGUUACAUGUUCCUUCCAUGUAUUUGCUACUAGUUGAUGAUCAGUCCCUACCUAUCCUUUAAUUUUCCACACAACAAGACCAUUCAGUAAUAUUGGCUCUAUCUCUCCACUUGUUUGCCCACCAUGGUUUAGCUGAAAAAACAGUGCAACUUGUUUCAAUAACAUUAAUAUAUAUAGAUAUUACUAUUUAUAUAUGCAUUGAACCCUGUAUGAUUUAUUUAUUUAUAAAAAUUCCAAAUAGGUUACUUUAUUUGUCAUUUAUGCUUGAAUAUGAAAAUACAAAACAGUGUUUUUUCUCAUUAAAAUUUUUACUAUAAAGAUUUUUAAUAACUUAGUGUUUACCAAUUGCACUUACUAAUUCUUAAUUAUAGAAUGAUGAUUAAAAAUUGUAUGUUUCAUAACUGUUUUUCAUCACAAGUUUAUAGUUCACUUCUCAGACGUUAUUCCAAAUAACGUUUGAGAUUAUAGGUUAUCAUUUUAAUUUCAUGUUUACCUUUAUUAUUUUGUUUAAGAUUUAUUUUUAUCCUUUUUAAUAUAUACUAUUUAUAAAGAAAAUAUAGGGAUUUUGGGCUGACUUUUUUGUUAUUCCAAUUAUACCUUUAAAUAAAAAAAAAUCAAAUAAUGUGAUAUGGUUGGUGUUAAUAAAAAGAUAAGAAUUUUUGUUAUAUUAUUGUUGUCAUUGAGAAUCAUAAAUAUUGUUUGUUGAGUUUGUUACAUUUGAAAGUCACAUAUCAUACUUUUAAUUUUUGUCUAUAUCAAAAAAUUUAUAUAAAAUAUCGUUUGUAAUUUACACGCAGAAUUUCAAUAAAUUAUCGUAAAUAAUUUAUACACAUUAACGUAAUAAAAAGAGCAGAAAGAUGAACAUGUGAAUGCUCGUCUUUUCGCUAGUUUAUUAUAAAGAAUAUGCUAAAUGUUUGGUUCUUUUGUCAUACUACACAAAUUAUUUGGUAGCUUUAUAUAUAUGUUACUAAUGUUAAUUUCACUCUCACUUUAAUUAUGUUACUCCAGAGUCCCUCUGAAAUAAUGUUUCUCUUUUUGCCCUAAAACUUCUCUCUUGCCAUCCAAAAUUUAAAACUCCCAUAUUAUAUGAUUCAUGAAGAUUUUUUGCUUCAAAACAUUGAUCAGGUCUUUUCAAACACGGACAACAAGGUAGGGUAUCAUUCCUUCCCUUUAGUGUUAUUUGAAUCUUUUUUUUUUUUCUUCUGUAAACUAAAACCUUAUAGAUUAUAUAAUAAUCUGAAUCAAGUUGUUCCUGGUUUGGAUUAUAUAAUUUGACAUGCUUCUAUAUAUAUGUUGUUUUGUUAUUUUGUGGAUAUUUUUUUAUUUUUUUUAGACAAAAGAGGAAUUAAAUUAAAAUAGAAAAGGAGGUAUAAGAUUGGGGGCAAUGACCUGACCAGUAAACCACAAAAUCAAAAUACAACAAUUUCAGUACAAAGUGGUAUACAACGAACACAACCCUAAACAAUCACUACUACGGACAAUUCAGCGAACCCACGUAUGAGCGCCAAACCGAAUUGCAAAAAAAACGUAGAGUGAGUAUUCAGAACUUCUAAAUAGGCGUAUGGAUCGACUGCCAACACAAAAACGAUCCAAGAUCAAGCAGCUCCCAUCAAAUAUCAGCAAGCAAUAAACGCCCUUUCGGGCCAACCAUUCCAGUCGUAGUUCAGUUCGAGGGAUGAACAAACGACAUAAAUGUAAAGCAGUCCACUGACAACGCAUAAAGCAACCGUAGCAGAUAAAGUCCUGCAGGUACGACAUCAACAACUAUCGUCAACCAGAGCGUCUACGCACUUAGCCCUUUCGUGCAUAUCAGGCGAAACAAGUCUUGUUGAAUCCAGAUCGAGGGAUGGUAUCCAACCAAACAUCGCACAAAUGAACAGAACCAUAACCAAAUCUUAAAUCCAGACAAACCAAAUUCAAAAUUUCAACUAAACCGGAUAGCCAGAAUAAGACCACCACCAAUCUUCAUCUUCCCGAAACAACAUAAAACACCAUUCGAUUCUUCAUGGUCUUCUUCUUUCAAACUAGUGCGUCUUCCUGGAACCGCCAUUGAUGUGAAAUUCGACUAUCUUUGCCGCCGCUUCAACUUCAAACUACUAUGCCAUUGACGCUUUUAAUUUAGUGGGAGAAAAAAGAAAAAGAUCGAAAUGAAAGUAGAAGAAGAAGGUUUGGUGUGUGUUUUUGAAGAAGAAGACGAAGAAAAAAAAAAGUUUGUGUUGUUACGUGUGAGAGGGUGUGGUGGUAAGCUUGUAUAUGAGAGAGAAAUAUAUGUCUAGAGUUUUGAUGUCUAAAGAAGACCACAAUUAAUGUGACAUUGGAAAAUGAAAGGGUGGAUGCAUGGGUACCAAAAUCUCAUAAUUAUUUGUUGGAAGAUGCAUAAGGAAGAGAGAGUUAUCCCCAAUAAAUGAGAGUGGGGAAUAGUUGAAAGAAGUGGCUUUUACAAAGUAGAAUGCUGAUUAGAAUUAACAAUUAAGUGUAGAUGAUCAACGGUUGAUGUUGAAUGGCGCCUAAAUGAUGAUCAGCAUCCAAUGGCUUGCAAAAUUGGAGAGAAAAAUGAGGGGGGAAAAUUAGGGUUAAGGAUAGCUUCGGGGGAUAAGCUUUAGUAAGUAAGAUUGUCUUAUAUACUUACAUUAUUUUAGGUCUAAAUUUCAGAAACCAUUAUUUGACAAUUUUUUUGACAAUUUUAUCUCACAUACUCACAUUAUAUUUUUACUUCUCUUUUUGUUGUUUUGGUUUUUAUUUUCAUACCUAAUUUUCCUUGUAAAUCUAUAGUUGUCUCAUAAAUUAUCGUUAAAAUUGUUGUUCAAAUAACACAACUCUUAUUUCUAAUACUCAAAAUUUGUUCAAAUUAAGUUUUUAAAGAACUUCUAAUAAAGUCAGAUUAAAGUUUUUUUGAACUUUUUAAAUACUUAAAUUGAAUUUUCUCCAAUAUACAUAUUAGAGAAAGAAAAAAAAUAAUGAUAGGAGGGAGAUGCAAAACUUAUGUUUUCUUUCUCUAGAAACAUAUUUUGAGUUUUCAAUAUCAUCAAAAUCUCAAAAUCAUAAACUUUAUUUAUUUGCAAAUCUAGAGCACAUAUAGCGCGAUUUUCUCUCAUAAUUUACAUUGAUAUAACACAUAUUAUGUUCUUACCUUGCCCAAACAUUCGGGAUUUAAUUGAUGAUGUAAAAGACGUUUUUAAAUGUAGAAUAAGAAAGAUGGAAAACCUCCAAGCCAAAUUAUACACAAGAUAUACAAAUUAUACACAAAAAUUUCAAAUUUCAAUUUUCUCGAGAGUAUUCUUAAAUGAUCAAUCAAUGAUUCAAUAUAAUCACAAUCUCAAAAUCAUAAACUUUAUUUAUUUUCAAAUCUAGAGCACAUAUAGCGGGAGGAGAUUGUCUCGUGUGAUUUUUCUCUCAUGUGUAAUCCAGACCCUCCAUUAAAUAUGUGAGAUAAUGUGUUUGUAAUAUAAAAUGACCGAACGCAAGAUAAAUUGUUUUUUUCUAAACAAUAAAUUUUAUUCAUAAGCAUUCCCGUGAGCUUAGCUCAGUUGGUACGGAUAUUGCAUUUUAUAUGCAGGGGCUGAGGUUCGAACCCCAGACACCCCACUUCUCCACAAUUAAAUUGUGUGAGCUCUAACCACUAGACUACUUGACCAAGAAAAAAAGAAAUAUUCAUAAACUAACCCAACACAACACAAGAAGUGAAGAGGCUAUAGAGGAAAGACACAGGGUAACAAUACAUAAAGACAACUAAACCAAGGCUAAAAAGCCACAACACAUGUAAAUGGCUUAUCACAGCAGAAAACAAGGUAUAUCAAUAUCAUGUGUGACUACAAAACCGCCCAAACAACCCUUAAUACAAUAGAAUCACAGCAGAAAACACCCUUAGUAGAUAUUGAUAUGCCUUGCCGCGUUGAUGUUUUAGAAAUGUGCAGGUGGAGGGCAAUUACUGGGUCGGUUAUGCCCGUUUUUCCUCGAGCAGGGAUUUAAUGAGGGCUUUUGGGAUGGUUUAGGACGAGGGAAAGGUACUGGUUUGGAUGGAGUGAAAUGGGGUAAAUGCUUUAUGAUUCCUGGAGGGAGAUGUAUGGCAUCAACAGCAAAAUGUUGAGGAACAAACAUAAGAGCAGCAAGGAAUAACACUAAUAAGGAUAAGAAAAAGGAUUUAGCCAUUUUAAGAAGUGAUAUAAUUAUUAGUGUUGGUGCAUAAUACAUAGGGAGUUAAACUGGUUUUAUACUAGUUAGAGACUCAAUGUGAGUCUAUCGUCAAUCAAAGUUAAAAUUGUGCACGAAUUGAAUUAUUCAACAAUGUUACAAGUUCCAUGUAUUUGAUACUAGCUGAUGAUCAUUUAGUAUUAUUGGCUCUAUCUCUCCACUUGUUUGCGCACAUGGUUUACCUGAAAAAACAGUGUACUGGAGGUGCAACUUGUUUUAAUAGCAUUUUUUGUUGAGCACAUCAUGAGACAACACCGACAUCCUAACUAGAUUAGUAUUUCAGGACGCCUCCGUCCUAUGCCUGCCAAUCUCUAAAUUUUAUUAAAAAAGGGUAAAAAUAUAUACAAGGAGAGUGAGGACUAGGCCAAAAUCCUCAAUGAAAAAACCAAAGGAAACAAUAAAAAAUAAAGCCUACUGAAAUCUAUAAUUGGGUGAGCCAAUUCUGUCUCUAUAGAAGUCGAAAUGCAACUCUGCACGAAGCGUGUCUAACCAAACAGAACCCUGAAUAUCAUGACCCUCGGACAUUCCAAUAUAACAUCAUUGGGAAGAUGGAGGAAGACCACUCUUUCCAAGGAUUUGAUAAUGCGGCUUUCCGAAGACUUACUUCUUCAUAUUUAACGCGGCUUUUUUGAGAGAACUUGCGUAAAUCCUUUCUUUACGGCCCGUUGAUCGUAUUCUUUGAUUCUGGCCCAUAAAUCCAAGUCAUUCUGUACGUUUUUGCUAGUGUUUUAAUAACAUUAAUAUAUAGAUAUUACUAUUUAUAUAUGCAUUGAACCUGUAUGAUUUAUUUAUAAAAAUUCCAAAUAAAUUACUUUAUUUGUCAUUUAUGCUUGAACAUAAAAAUACAAAACAUUGUUUUUUCUCAUUAAAAAAUUUAAUUAAUUUAUAAAGCUUUUUAAUAAAUUAGUGUUUACCAAAUUGCACUCAUUAAUUCUUAAUUAUUGAAUGAUUGUAAACUCAUUUUAGAACCUCCAAAAAUGAAGAAAGCUCAUUCUUAGGACAACACAAAAUGGAAAACACUCAAGAUUGUUGGCAUAUUGGUAGACUAUUUCUAUCUGACAAAUUCAAUAAGCUAGUUUAUAGUUUAUAAGUCCGAAUGAUUAAAAAAUGUAUGUUUCAUAACCGUUUUUUCAUCACAAGUUUUAUAGUUUAUUUUAUUAGUUUGUAGCUUAUUUUUUAGACGUUAUUUUAAAUAACGUUUGAGAUUAUAGUUUAUCAUUUUUAUUUGUGUUUACCUUUAUUAUUCUGUUUAAGAUUUAUUUUUAUCCUUCAUAAUCUAUACUACUACCGUUUAUUCUGUUUGACAUUAUAGUUUAUUUUUAUUUGUAGUAUAUAUAAAGAAAAUAGGGGGAUGUUAGGCUAGCUUUUUUGUUACUCUAAUUAUACCCUAAAAUAAAUAAAAAGUCAAAUAAUAUUAUAUUGUUGGUGUUAUUAAAAAGAUAAGAAUUUUUGUUAUAUUAUUGUUGUCAUUGAGAAAGAUAAAUAUGGUUUAUUGAGUUUGUUACAUUUGAAAGUCACAUAUAUUUAUACUUGUAAUUUUAAUCUAUAUCAAAGAGUUUUUAUAAAAUAUAGGUUGUAAUUUACACGCAGAAUUUCUAUAAAUUAUCGUAGAUAAUCUAUACACGUUAACGUAGUAAAAAGAGAAGAAAGAUGCGCACGUGAGUGCCCGUCUUUUCACUAGUUUAUUAUAAAGAAAAUGUUAAAAUGUUCAAUUAUUUUGGUCAUACUGCACGAAUUAUUUGGUAGCCUGGCAUAUAUGUUACUAAUGUUAAUUUCACUCUCACUUUAAUUAUGUUACUCCACAGUCCUCUAAAAUCGUGUUUCUCUUUUUGCCCUAAAACUUCUCUUUUAUGUUACUCCACAAUCCUCUAAAAUCGUGUUUCUCUUUUUGCCCUAAAACUUCUCUUUUUGAUUAUUCAAUCCGAAUCAAGUUGAUCUGGUUUGGAUUAUAUAAUUUGAACUGCUUUUAUAUAUGUUGUUUCUUUAUUUUGUGGAUAUUUGUUAAUUGUUUGUACAUCUGAUUUUAACACUUUCAAAUAUUGACCGCAUGGGCUGUGUUAGGAACGAUAGAAUUUCCUUGACUGCAUCUUCUAGGUGAGAGCGUAUGUAGAAGAAUGUAGUGGAAAGGAGAGUGGUCAAGGGCAUGGGCAUGGGCCGCAAUGCUGAGACGCAGAGAGGUCGUCAGUUCCUAGACAUUAGUGGACAGUUACGGCGCAUCGAGGAACAUGUCAGAAGUAUUUAACUUUUUUAGUGAAGAUUUUUUUAAUUUAGAAUUUUUAAAGAGUGUCUCGAAAACACUCAUUAGCAAGACUGAUAAGUUGUAGUUUAUGGUGUUUUUAUCAUUUAAAUUCAAUAAUAUGUACGUUGUUUUAGUUUUAAUUUAGAUUCAUUUUACUGGAAAACAUUAGUUUUUAUUUUCAUAAUCAAAAUUAUGAAGAACAUUAUACCUAGAUUAAGAGCGAGGAAAAAGAGCCAUGAAAGAGCCAUAAAGCAGCAGCACGGAUGGUCCGUGGUUCCAUCUAGGUCGUGGAGUUCUUAAAAUGUCAAAAUUUCAAAAGUUGAAGUACAAGCACAACCGUGUGCCCCAACACGGUAGAAACAAGCAUGAUUGUGCACUUCAGAAGCACGACUUUUGCACCCCUCAAAACACAACAAAAUGUCAAAAGUUGGAAAGGUGAGCAUGACCGUGCACCCUUGAAGCACGACCGUGAGUCUUGUGCAGAGAAAAAUAGUUGUUACAACCUCUUAAAGUUCUUUGGUUCAUGGCUUGUAACUUGUUUUUAAUAUAUUUGUCUGAGGCUCUAGGCUAUAAAUAUACCUCACUUCUAAGGAAAAAAGAAUCUUAGAUACUUGUAAACUUACUCUAAAGUUGAAAGCAUAAUUUUGCAAUGUUUUAAGUUCUUUGUUCUUUAUUUUUCAUUUCUUUACAUUUGUAUUCUUUACUUUUCUGUUCUUUACAUUUUCAGUAUUUUAUCUUCAUGUCUUUAUAUUUUAAUCACAUGUCUAUUAUGAUCAUAUGUUAGUAAACAAACUAUUCUAGUCUUGGAAUUGUUAGAAUAAUCAAUCUAAUGAUUGAAUGUUAAUCAACCCAAGUCUAGACUCUAUUUUAUAAGAAUCCAUUUUAUAAUCUAAUAUCAUCGUUACUAAAUUUUAUUUUAUAAUCUAAUAUCAUUGUUAUGAAAUUUUAUAACAAGUAUCAAACAAAGAACUGAGAGUUGAUGUUUGAUAUUGUUAUUUAAUCAUGUCUAAGAUAUCAAACGAAGGACCGAGAGGUGAAAUUUGAUAUUGGAAUAAAUGAGAUUGUAAGAGAUAAGCAAAAUAUGAAAAUAAUUUUAUGACUCUUAGGACAAUAAGGUUAUAAGGUUGCACUCGAAAAGUUUCAAUGAUAAUCAACUAUGAGAAUAGGUUUAAUUACUGUUGAGAUACAUACAUUCAUGUAAUCUGAUAGGAAACUGAUAGAAUAUGUGUUACUUAGUCAUGUAAUUUGUAUUAUUAAAAGAAUAUUAAUACGUAUUCAUUGUGUUAAUUAGUCAUUCAUUUUGUAUUCAUUAGUCAUUAAGAGAAUGAUAACAAUUUGAUGUAUAUAAUGCACUCAGAUUAUCAAUGAAAAUCAUUCAGCUAUUUUCCUAUAUGGUAUCAGCUAGGUUUUAGAUCCUCUCCUACUUCUUCUAGCCGCCCACCACCACCUUUUCUUCCCUAUACUUCCGUUAUAAACCGCCAUCCAUGGCUACCUCAACAACAGCUGAAUCAACCACUCUCUCAACAAAUUCCUCUCCCGUGACAGACACAUUUGUCUCAACGGCACCAUCAUCAAAAAUUCACUCGGCCUUCACUAUCAACAACGUGAAGUCUAUCAUUCCCGUAACCUUGCACAAUGGCAGAAUGCUUUUCAUUGAUAAUCUGAGUGCAUUAUAUACAUCAAUUUGUUAUCAUUCUCUUAAUGACUAAUGAAUACAAAAUGAAUGACUAAUUAAUAUAAAUGAAUACCUAUUAAUAUUCUUUUAAUAAUACAAAUUACAUGACUAAGUAACACAUAUUCUAUCACUCCCACGCAGUUGAUGCGGGAGGUUGUCGGACGCUGAGUCUGUCCCUAAAAUCUUGAAAUAAAACCAAUGGGAGACCCUUAGUGAAGAUAUCUACAAUUUGAUAGCGUGAUGGAACAUGUAGGACACGGAUGUCUCCACGAGCUACUUUUUCACAAACAAAAUGAAUGUCCAUUUCGAUAUGUUUUGUGCGUUGGUGCUGGACGGGAUUUCGGAUAGAUAUAUGGCACUAACAUCCUUAUUAUCUAAUCCUAAACUACAAUGCACACAACAAUUGCAAAACCCUAAUCCUUGGUUUUGAGCGGGAAAAUUGUGAUUUAACCACAUUUAAUGGCAUUUUUGAAUUUCAAAUCAUGUACCCUUUUGAAAUGUGUGCAUAUGUGCCUAAUUAAUGCAGAUUUUGAAAUUCAAAUAUCCCACCACUUGGAAUUGUGCUCGCUUCUUUCCAAGACAUGCAGUUACCCACUUCUCAAUGCAAAAGCAUCUGAACCAAACAAACCUAUUUCCUUGCAUUUUGCUCUUUCUCCCUCUCUCUCACUCCCCUCUCACGCCCAUUUUUCUCUAAUCAGAAAAGGUCAACGAUUUUCAGUCCCUCUUCUCUUCUCUCUCACUCCAGUUUUCUCUCAAAAAAAAGCCUCUUCUCUUCUCCCACGUUAUUUUUUUCUUCAUUUUCUAACAUUCUUCUUCAAUUCUCCAUCUCUCUCUCUCAUUGUUUCUCGCGUAGCUCUUCGUGUCUUAGUUUGGGUGUUCUCUUCAUCGCCGGUCAGCCUCACCAAGGCAAUAAGCAUCUUCAAGUUUUAUUGAAAGAGAAUGCUUCUAUGCAACAAAAUUUUCAAGACCUUCGAUCCCUCGGUAUGCGUUUUCAGUUUCGUUACGUUUUGAUUGAUUUUGAUUUCGCGAUUAGGAUUUUGGUAUCACCGGUGUUGUUUUGAUUGAUUUUUCCGAUUUGAUAGGAAAGGAGCUUGAAGAAGGUGGAGUUCUCAGUGAAUCGGCACUGUCGCGGAAGGUUUUUCUUUUCAUCAACGAUCUUCUCUCUCAUUCUCUCUCAUUCGCUGCUCUUCUACUAAGCUUUGAUUGUGGAACGUAUGAAGGCAGAGUGACAUCUGAUAACGAUCAGAAUCAAGGCUACUAAGCUUAGAUUAUGGCUUCUAGGGGCAGAGGAAAAUGAGGAAGAAAAAGCACCAUCAAUUACAAUCUGCUCUACAUGUAUAAUGUUUUCCGUAUUCGAAUUAUUUCAAAUUGCAAGUAAUUUAAAUUGAGUUUUAAGGUAGUUUUCUUUGACUGCAAGUAUAAGGGGCUUAUUUCACAAGGUUAUACUUAGAUGUGUAUAUUCACUAUUGAAGCUUAUUUUGAGUUUCCGUGAUGACUUACUUUAUCGAAAUCACGGUGUGCCGCCGCGAUUUAGAAAAAGUUAUAGGGUGCAGCUUUUACAAUAACUAAAAAUUAACUAAUGAUUUGCCUGAAGUUUCUAAUUCUUUUUAUUGGUCCGAUUACAGUCCCUCUCUGAUGAUUUUCUACAACUAUCAGAUUUGAUUGAAUCAACUAAGGUUAAUUAUUUUGUCCAUAAUUUUUGCAAGAUAACUCUUCAGUCUACUGUUUUAGGUCAAAAUUAAUUUAUUUUGUGUAUAGAACAAUAGUUAUGCAGACCACCCAUUUCAAUAGGAUAAUGUCAAAAUUAAUUUAUGCAGACCAUCCAUUUCAAUAAUCAAUAAUGUUUUUUUGGGUUUGUUUGUAUAAUAGCAGGUUUUUUAAGAUUUGUUUUGUGUAUAAUGUGUCAUUUCACUCCACGUAGCCAAUCUUAGUGUUUGUUCAUGAAUAGAAAGUGGCUCAUAAAACAAUUUAAGGGUUCGAUUGUUCUAUAUUAUCUUUGCUCAUCUCUCUUAGUGUUUGAAAUUAGUUCAAAGAGUGGUCUAAAAAUUCUGCUAACAUAUGAGGAUGACGCUUGCAUUGAUAGUUUUUUUUUUUAAAAAAAAAAAAAAAAUCGCAUUGUAUACACAUAAAUUCCUUGAAAUAUAAUUGUAUACACAACGUACACUACAUACGAGGUCAACUUUACGUCGCAAUAUCCAAGGUGACCUCCAGGAAUGGGUUGAAGAUUUUAAUGAAUGAUGAUAAUAGUAAUAGCAUGAAUAGCACUUCAAAUGUAGUUAUAAGGAGAUUUUCUGCAAUCUACCGAUUUAAGGUCUUUUUUAAUGUAUUUUUUUUAGAAACAAUUUAUUUUGUACCGCAAGCAUAUUUAAUUUCAAUACAUUUUGUAAUAGCAUAUUUUAUUUUGUACAGCACGGGUGGAUGGUCUAGUUAUCACAAUAAACUAAACUAGCCUUGUGAAUGGGGAAAUGUAAUUCCAAAAGCAAGUUUCAUAACCAACAAGAUUCAGAAACCGCAUUGGAACCCCUCGAUAUUCUGCUUCAGCACUUGAACGAGAUAAAGUAGGUUGUCGUUUGGAAGACCAUGAGAGUAAGUUGUCACCAAGAGAUACACAGCAACCAGAGGUGGAUCGUCAGGUAUCUAGGCAACUUCCCCAAUCUGCAUUGUGUAAACAAUCAAUGAUGAUGUAGAAGAAGAGUAAAGUUGCAGUCCAUACUCGCGUGUGCCCUGAAUAUAUCUCAGGAUGCGUCAAAGGGUGUGCAUGUGAUCAUCCAUUGGAUUGUGCAUAAAUAAACAUAUUUGUUGCACUGCAUAAGAAAUGCCAGGCCUUGUGAAGGUGAGGUAUUGUAGGGCGCCAGCAAGGCUGCGAUAUAGAGAAAGGUCUUCAAAUGGGGUGCUAGUUUUGGCUCUCAUCUUUGGUUUAGUAUCAACCGUUGUAGGACAUGGUUUACAAGAAGCCAUUCCAGCACGAUCAAUAAUUUCUUCUGCAUAUUUUUUCUGAGACAAAAAUAAGCCACCAGGAUGACGUGUGACAGCAAUACCCAAAAAAUAAUUCAACAAUCCCAAAUCUUUCAUAGCAAACUCGGAACUAAGGAGUGAUAUGAUAGACUUUCAAAGGUCGUCAGAGGAAGAGGAAGCAGUAAGAAUGAUAUCAUCUACAUACAGUAUGAGGUAGGCCAAAAGGUGGGUUUUUCCUAUAUGGUAUCAGAAAAACUCUGCUUCCCGGAACUCUGGCAGAGGUGGUCGAAAUGGUACUGGUAAUUAUUGAUCUAUAACAAUAACCAUAUACGAAGACUACCUCAAAAAAAAAAAAAAAAAAAACGUACGAAGGAGAAUCAACCAUCUGGAUAAUACAUAUCCUUAUUUUAUUUAUUUGAAUUUGAAUGGCAACCACCAAAGCCACAUAUAGAAAGAAUAUUUUCCUACCAAUCGUACAUGAUGCCCAUAACAAAAGAUAGGUUCCAUAAUAUGGCCCCAUAAUAUCCUUAUCCUUAUAAUUAUGGUUCAGAAAAUAAAAAACCUCGUUAAGUUUUAGGAUUAUUUUAAGUUGAUAAAUAUUAACGAGUAUCUUCAGAGCAUUUUUCAAACAUCUAAAGUGGUAAGAUUUUAUGAAAGUUGAGCAUUUAUUAUAUUGGAAAUUGAAGUCUUUACAUUUCUUUUAAAAAUAAUUUUUUCAUUAUAAAUGCUUAAAAGGUGCUCCAUGGACAUUCAUUAACAGGACUCUUUUAAAUUUUAGAAUGUUAGCAUUUCCCUAAAACACAUGUUAAAGAUAGAGAUAUAUUAUGGCCUCUCACGGUAGCACCCGCCUACGUAGCGAGUUUAUGGUCAAUCUAAGUCAUUUACUAAAUGUCAAAAUUAUGUAUGAAUUGAAUUAUUCAACAAUGUUACAAGCUCCAUGUAUUUGCUACUAGUUGAUGAUCACUAACUAUCCUUUCAUUUUCCAUACAACUAGACCAUUUUUUUUUAGUAUUAUUUGCUCUAUCUCUCCACUUGUUUCCACAAAUAUGAUUAAUUUUUUUCGAAAAUUUUGUUUUUUUAAAUAUGAUAUUAUGGAAAACAAAAUUCGAAAAUUUGAAUAUAUAUUAAUCUUUUCCACAAUUUUUUUAAAUAUUUCCCGAUUAUUUUUAUAAUUUUUCCAGAUUUUUUUCAUUAUUUUUUAUUUUACCAGAUUUUUUUAAUCAUUAUUAAUUUUUACAUUUUUUUUUUAAAUUUUUCAGUAUUUUUUUUAAUCAUUAUUCGUUUUUUAAAUUUUUUUAUUUUUAUUUUAAAAAAAUCACAAAUGCCACGUGGCGUUCAUUUACACGCGUGGCAUGAAAAAAAUUAAACAAAAAAAAAUUGACACGUCACUGCCACGUAGUAGAUUCUGCCGACACAUUGAGGUGAGGGGUCAAUCCUGAAGAAUCUUCAUUUUUCAAGGGUGGAAUCUAAAAAAAAAAAAUUACAGGGGCUAAAACCAAAAGUGCAUUAUAUUACAAAGGCCAAAAACACUAUUAACACUAUAUUAUUACUUCUUCUUUUUUAUAAAAAUCCAAAUAAAAAUCAUUUGCAUUGCAGCCAAUUGGCCAAAUGCAACAUGACAAGCGCAAAAUUGCUCCAUGUUGACUUGUGAGAACUCUUGUUCUAGAUAGAGAACCUUAUAGUUUUUGUUGUCACAGAAAAUGUUAAACAACUUUUUCCAUGCAAUUUAUGCGUCUGAAUCGCGCUUGAUGAUGGUGAUGAGAAUAUAUUCUGAGGUGGUGUCAUAUAUCCAUUAUAAUACGACAACAUCAAAAAGCGGCCAAAGAUUGGGAUUGAUUUCUUUGAGAGAGGGAGUUGUUGGCUUAUUAGUGGGUGAGGGAGGAAUGAUGUGAUGAAAGACUUGAUGAACCCUUGCAUGAAUUUUAAAGAGUUCGAACCACGUAUUAUAUUGGACCCUUUUUUAUACUAAACGUAACCUUGAUGAAAUUGGUGAUAAUUGAAAAUGGUGGUAGAGGGAUGGAUAGGUGUGGAAGGAGUUGGGGUUGAAAUUGUCCUUCGAGUGGUAGUAUUUUUGGGGAUGAUUCGGCCCUGAUGGUGAAUGAAGGAGAAGAGGAACGAUGGCGCUGUAUUAGGUUUACGAGAGAAGGAUGAGUACCAACAACUUACUGAUACCAUGUAAGAAUUAUAAUAAGAUAAUUAUUAGUCGUGUGUCAUUUGCAUUGAGAGGAUCCGUUGACACUAGGUGUCAAACUUUAGUUUGACAUCAAAUCUCAACCGUCUAUUAUGUCUAAUCUAAUGGUCUGUGAUUAUUUAUUAAAUUAACUUGUGUGAUCUUUUUCCCAUGUCUCACCUGAUCCCACGCCGGCUGUUCUGCUCCAUCUCCUUCAACUUAUCAAAGUUAAUAUGGCCAACAAUCAAAUACACACACAAAUUAAUUCUUUUUUUUUUUUAAAGAAGAAGAAGCUAAAUUAGCCCACACAAAUUGGCACCGGAGAGAAUCGAUCCUGAGACCUCGAGGAGGAGCACACUCCCAGAUCCCAAGUCAAUACCACCAGACCAACCCAAAUGAUAAAUAAGGAGUUAAUUCUAAAUAAGGAGUUAUACAUAUAAUUACAUAUUGUUGACAUUAAUUGUUCUCUGUGGGGCAAGAUACUUGAGGUGUAAGUUUCAUAAGAUGCAAGUUCUUUUAAGUCUAAAUUGUCUUAUACUUACAUUAUUUUAGGUCUAAAUUUCAGAAACCAUUAUCACAAAUUUUUUGACAAUCUUAUCUCACAUACUCGUACUAUAUUUUUACUUCUCUUUUUGUUGUUUUGGUUUUUGUUUUCAUACCUAAUUUUCCUUGUAAAUCUAUAGUUGUCUCAUAAAUUAUCGUUAAAAUUGUUGUUCAAAUAACACAACUCCUAUUUCUAAUACUCAAAAUUUGUUCAAAUUAAGUUUUUAAAGAACUUCUAAUAAAAUCAGAUUAAGUUUUUUUGAACUUUCUAAAUACUUAAAUUGAAUUUUCUCGAAUAUACAUCUUGGAGAAAGAAAAAAAAUAAUUAUAGGAGGGAGAUGCAAAACUUACGUUUUCUUUCACUAGAAACAUAUUUUGAGUUUUCAAUAUCAUCAAAAUCAUAAACUUUAUUUAUUUGCAAAUCUAGAGCACAUAUAGCACGAUUUUCUCUCAUAAUUUACAUUGAUAUAACACAUAUUAUGUUCUUACCUUGCCCAAACAUUCGGGAUUUAAUUGAUAAUGUAAAAGAUGUUUUCAAAUGUAGAAUAAGAAAGAUGGAAAACCUCCAAGCCAAAUUAUACACAAGAAUAUAAAACAAAGCAUUUACUUGGUAGAUAAUAUUUUCUUUUUAAACAGCAAAUUUUAUUCAUAAUAAGAUAACCUAACACAAGAAGUGAAGAGGCUAUAGGGGAAAGACACAAGGUAACAAUACAUAAAGACAACUAAACCAAUGCUAAAAAUCCACAUCACAAAACCACCCAAACAACCCUUAAUACAAUAUAAUCACAGCAGAAAAACCUUAACCAAAUCAAGCAAACACACCCAGACCUUCCCCUAACACAAAAUCAAACCAGUUUCCAUCAACACCACAUCAAUAGACCCCUUAAAUAAUUGAACAAAAACCAGCCACCUAAACUUCCUGGUACCAGUAAAUUACAAUUACUUAGUAGAUAUUGAUAUGUCUUGUUGCAUUGAUGUUUCAGAAAUGUGUGGCUGGAGGGCAAUCUUUGGGUCGUAACUUCCACAAUAUCUUCGAGCAGCGAUUGAUUUUGGGAGUUUUGAAUUUUGGGAAGGCAGCAUCAACAGCAAAAUGUUGAGGAGCAAGCAUAAAAGCAGCAAGGAAUAACACUAAUAAGGAUAAGAAAAAGGAAUUAGCCAUUUUAAGAAGUGAUAUUAUUAUUGUGUUGGUGCAUAAUACAUAUGGAGUUAACUGGCUUUAUACUAGUUAGAGACUCAAUGUGAGUUUAUGGUCAAUCUAAGUCAUUGUGUAUGAAUUCAAUCAUUCAACACGUAGGUUCCAUGCAUUUGGAAAACUAGUUGAUGAUUAAAAAUGUUCAAUAUAUUAGGCUAUGAAUUGUUUAUGAAUUGAAUUGUUGAUGAUUAAAACAGUGUACUGGAGGUGGAACAUGUUUUAAUAACAUUAAUAUGUAGAUAUUAUUAUUUAUGCAUUGAACCCUGUAUUGAUAAAAAUUCCACAUAGGUUACUUUAUUUGUCAUUUAUGCUUGAAUAUAAAAAUACAAAACAGUGUUUUUUCUUAUUAAAUUUUUUAAUUAAAUUAUAAAGAUUUUUAAUAACUUAGUGUUUACCAAUUGCACUCAUUAAUUCUUAAUUAUAGAAUGAUUAUCGUAAACUCAUUUUAGAUCCUCCAAAAAUGAAGAAAGCUCAUUCUUAGGACAACACAAAAGAGAAGAAACGCAAGAUUGUUGGCAUAUUGGUAGACUAUUUCUGUUUGACAAAUUCAAUAAGCUAGUUUAUAGUUUAUAAGUCCGAAUGAUUAAAAAAUGUAUGUUUCAUAACUGUUUUUUCAUCACUAGUUUUAUAGUUUAUUUUAUUAGUUUGUAGUUUAUUUUUUAGACGUUAUUCGAGAUUAUACUUUAUCAUUUUUAUUUGUGUUUACCUUUAUUAUUUUGAAUAAUUUUUAGGAUAAUUUCUAGUGUUGAUCUAAGUUGUUUUUCAUUGAAAAUCAAUCUAAUUCAUUGAAUUAGGAUUCAUAUAAUUUGCUUAGGUCAAUUGAUUGCAAAAUCAAUUCAAUUCUUCAAUUACACAUGUAUUGUGUUUUUUAUUUGAUAACUUAGUAAUUUUGUUCAGAUAGGUUUGGUUUGAAAUUGUCUAUUGUUUUGUACAUUGUUCAAAGAAUAUUAAAGUUUGAUUGUAUAAUAAGAUUUGUAUCGUGAAUCUCUCAAUUCUAAGAUUAAAUCUCAUUGCACAUAUAUUUGUCUUUUUCAUUCCUUGAUUGUCAUUGUUCGACCACGAAUCCCAUAGUCAAUUUUGUUGAGAGAGAGAGAGAGAGAGAGAGAGAGAGAGAGAUUGGAUGGACGAGUAAUAUUAGUGCAGAACACAUAGCAAAAGAGAAUCGAAAAAAGAGGAUCCCGAUCCUUUUCUAAAGGACAAUCAACCAUCUAUAUAACGACAAAUUUAAACCCAUCAUGUACAAAAAUAACGAUCAAGGUGAAAAUAUAAACGUAACAUUGAACUAUGUUAUUAAAUUAUAAUAAACUUCAAAGGGUAAAAUUGGUUUUUAGAUAAACAUAUAAGCCAAAUAAGGUUACAAGUUGUUUUUUUUUUUUUUUUGAAAGAAGGGUUACAAGUUAUAAGCUUGUGAAGAAAAGACGGUUAUCAAACACAACCUAUACAGCUCAUGAAGCUACCAUAAAAAAUUUAAUAGUGGGGAUGUUUAAUGAAGAUUGGUAGUACUGUAGUAGUGUUACGUUGAUCAUGGAGCUAUAGUUAUAAAUAAUUUUAAAGUGGGUUAUGUUUAUUGAAGAUAGGGAGAUCGAAGCGGAAAUGCUGGAAAAUGAUGAUGGAAAAAUAUAAAUCGGCGAUUUAUAUUUUAGUCCUUGUGAAAGUUAGAAUUUAAGUUUGAAGGGGUGCACGGGUAUUCAAGGAUCCGAAGAUUUUAAGAAGCACCAAAUUUAAGGUUUACUUGGAGUUUGAGGGAGUGUUUUACAUAGGAGUUGAAGAAUUAGGUUUUAAUUUCAAGGAACUCUUGUAAACAGAUUGUAUUCAACAUUUGUUAGACCAAGUACAAUGGCUUGUUGAAAGUGCCAUUCAACAUGUUGAAUCAUUGUAGUGGGGGGUGUUGAAAUUGAAAAAAAAAAAACUUAGUUGGAGGAAAGAGAUGAUGAACAAGUUUAACUAGCUGAAAGCCUGGCCCUCACAGACACGUGGCGCGACCCGAUUGCAUGAAACAGGCGAGUGCGAUGCACGCGACGACAGGGCGCAUGAGAGAUUGGAAGCGCAGAGAGAGAAAGAGAAAUGGAUAAAUGUUGUGACACUUGGCAUGUUUUGAUUGGCUGCUUGGAUUUUUAUCUUCUUAAUAAUUUGGACUCAAUUAUUUCAUUGUAAAUAAUUUUUUUUUACCAAAAUUCGUGAUUUUUUUUUCUCUAUAAAUAGAGACUUGGAUCAUUUGAUUUGGACACAGAAAAAAAAAAUCAAGUUUUUUCACUCUCUUAAUCUUAUUACUAGCUUUUCUUUAAAAGUUUAAGUCUGAAAUUGAUCCCAAUAACAAUCAAUUCAAUACCCAAAGUUCUUCAGAUUACCCAUCUAGCUACCAAAAUCCAAAUUAUUAUCAACACCCAAAUCAAUUUCUCAACCAACAUCCUUAAAACCCAAAUCAAUUCCCCAACCAACAUCCUCAAAACAUGCCUAAUUUUGGUUUUGCCUCAAAUUUCAAUCACUCAUCCUCUGUUCUAAACAACUUUUAUCCAUAUUAUAGAUCUAUGAUGGGAUAUCCAUCUCAAACACCCCAUUUAAUGGUUAUAUGCCAAUGGUGAAUGAAAAUUUUCAGAGUGUUAGUGAAUAUCCUGAAUUUUCAUCACAAAUAAAUAGUGGUGGAAUGACAAGAGCUAAUGAAGUCACUCCAAUUUCAGAGGAUACAACUCCUAAGAGCAAGAAAAACCAGCAACCAGGAACACUGAACAAAAUUUGGUGUUAAUUAGUGGGUGAAUAAAAUAUGGAACAUGCAUUGUUGUCGGGAGAAACCAGACAAGUGAAGCAUAUUGGGUUAAAAUUGUUGAGUAUUGUAAUGAGCAUCGCUCAUUCGAUUCUCCGCGCGACUCAGUUGCAUGCCGAAACCGUUUUAAUUAUAUGAGCAAAUUAAUAAAUAAAUGGGUUGGUGCUUAUGAUGGUGCUAAGCGUUUGCAAGGAAGCGGUUGGUCGAAAGAUGAUGUUUUGGAAAAAGCCCAUGAAUUAUAUGUGAAACACCCCGUUUUCCCAACUUGAAAUUUUUUGCAUAAAUCAGAGUAAAACAGCUAAACAGGAUGCUGCACUUCUUUCAAAUCUGAAUAUAGUAAAAUUACUAAUUAUCUCAAUCAUCAAAUUAAAUCUUAUUGCAGCGGAAAUUAGUUCAACGUUUAAAACAACCUUGGCACAAAGGCCUCAAUGUAAAAUCUCAUAAAAUUAUUCCAACAACAUGUUCAUAAAACUUCAUAAAAUAAUACGUAAGGAACGUAAAGCAACAACAAAAUUCUCAUCCCGUUACGUAUCAGAGCACCUAAGACACACGUGAGAGAAUCCACUCACGACCGCAACUAUUCUUGGUUACCUGCAAGUUACUCAAUUGUGAGGGCAACAUUUCCAAGCAGAAGGGGUGAGAUUUCACAUUCAAUAAUAAUAAGCAUAUAAUUCAUCAAAUUCAUUUAACAACUUAAACUUCAUCAAUUAGUAACACUAACUCUUCGCAUAAAUACUUCAUUAAUUAAUAACAUUAACUCUUCCUAUAAGACUUCAUUAAUAACUCAAUCAACUUCUAAUCAUCAUUAACUUCAUAUUCAUCACAUUAUAUACAACGUCAUACAACACGUAAUAAUCAAAUCAUAAACAUCAUCAUAUAAAAACCUAAUCAUCACAUCAUAAACAUCAUCUUAUAACAUCAUAUAGUUCACAUCAUAAACAUCAUCAUAUAACAACAUAAACAUCACAACAUAAACAUGAAAUAAGGUUAUAAGGUUGCACUCAAAAAGUUUUAGUGAUAGUCAACUAUGAGAAUAGGUCUAAUUACUGUUGAGAUACAUUCAUGUAAUCUUAUAGGAAACAUGAAAUACCAAAGAACAUCUUGUCCUUAGAAAUGAAUAGAGAAAUAGAUAUGGAAUGUUUAGGAUUUAACUUUAUGAUGAAAACCGCAAUCUCAUGACGCAUUUUUAUAUCUAAAUUUUAAUCAAAAAAAUAAUUGCACUUAAUCAAUUUAUUUUUUUCAGCUAAUCAAAACUAAAAAUUAGAUUAGUAUUUACUUAAAGUCCAUGUGAAUCGAUAUUUUACUAGAACCGUACACUUGCGUAAACCUAUCAAAGACCCUAUUGAUGUAUAUGGAAUCGUAGUUACCUAUCAAAGCUACAAAAAAAAUUAGAUCGGAAUUGGGGUCUUUCUGACCAUUCUUGAAGUCGAAGGGGGUUCGUUUACUGGAUGUAGCAUCGAAGGCUUGAGUGAAGAGUUCGAAGGGGUGCACGGGUAUUCAAGGAUCUGAAGAUUCAAGAAGCACCAAAUUUAAGGGUUACUUGGAGUUUGGGGGAGUGUUUUACAUAGGAGUUGAAGAAUUAGGUUUUAAUUUCAAGGAACUUUUGUAAACACAUUUGUAUUCAACUAUUAUAAAAAUAUCGGUGUUAUCUCUCUUUCCCUAUCCUCUUUACUUUUAGCUAUUGCAUGUGAUUAAUUGAAUAAUUUUUAGAAUAAUUGCUAGUGUUGAUCUAAGUUAUUUUUCAUUGAAAAUCAAUCUAAUUCAUUGAAUUAGGUUUCAUAUAAUUUGCUUAGAUCAAUUGAUUGAAAAAUCUAUUCAAUUCUUCAAUUACACAUGUAUUGUGUUUUUGAUUUGAUAACUUAGUAAUUUUGUUCAUGUAGGUUUUUGGUUUGAAAUUGUCUAUUGUUUUGUACAUUGUUCAAGGAAUAUUAAAGUUUGAUUGUAUAAUAAGAUUUGUAUCGUGAAUCUCUCAAUUCUAAGAUUAAGUCUCAUUGCACAUAUAUUUGACCUUUUGAUUCCUUGAUUGUCAUUGUUCGACCACGAAUCCAAUAGUCAAUUUUGUUGAGAGAGAGAGAGAGAGAGAGAGAUUGGAUGGACGGGUGAUAUUAGUGCAGAACACAGCAAAAGAGAAUCGAAAAAAGAGGAUCUUGAUCCUUUUCUAAAGGAGAAUCAACCAUCUAUAUAAUGACAAUUUUAAACCCAUCAAGUACAAAAAUAACGAGCAAGGUGAAAAUAUAAACGUAACAUUGAACUAUUUUAUUAAAUGAUAAUAAACUUCAAAGGGUAAAAUUGGUUUUUAGAUAAACAUAUAAGGGGUUACUAAAAAGGGUUACAAGUUUUUUUUUUUUUUUGAAAGAAGGGAUACAAAUUAUAAGCUUGCGAAGAAAAGACGGUUAUCAAACACAGCCUAUGCAGCUCAUGAAGCUGCCAUAAAAAUUUUAAUAGUGGGGGAUAUUUAAUGAAGAUUAGUAGUAGUGUUACGUUAUUCAUGGAGCUAUAGUUAUAAAUAAUUUUAAAGUGGGUAAUGUUUAUUGAAGAUAGGGAGAUCGAAGCGGAAAUGCUGAAAAAUGAUGAUGGAAAAAUAUAAAUCGAUAUUAUCUUUUAUUUUAGUCAGAAUUUAAAUUUGGUAUUUUUCAGUAUCCAUGUCGGCGAUUUUGACUAAUUUUGAUUAAGUAAACGUCUUAGUUGACUUCAAUGACUAAAGUAACUAAGAACAAAGAGUGAAUGAUUUAAUUCGGGUUUUAUCUAAGUCAUUGACCAAAAUUACAUCUUGUUACACUUUUAAGGAGAAAAAUGGUUGUUUUCCCAAUAAUGUUUUCCAAUAUUAAAUUAAUGUUGUUUUCUGCCUUAGGGAUGUUACCAAUUUGUUAUGUUGGAGUUACCUUUAGUGCUAAGAAACCUUUAGACCAAUAAAAAUAUUUUGAGUCCCUUUUAAAGUGGUAAAUACACUAAUAUAAAGUCAUUGUCAAUUGAUGUUAGGACUAUUUAUUAAGAAUGCAAUAUUUACUUGUUGUUCUUUGGUAGACACUUAGAGUUCAUUUUUGUGGACUGUAUGAACUUGGUUAUAUCAUAGUUAACGUCGUAUUAGACAAACGGAAAUGAAAGACUCAUCUCUCACUCUACUUAGGACUAGCCAAUUGUCAAACUUGGUUACAAUUUAUUUUGUUUGGAAAACUUAAUUUGAAUUUUCUACAAGUCAUGAAAAAUUCAAAUUUCUGUUUUCUGAUUAGAAGAUCAAUAAACGGUUCAAUAUCAUCACAAUCUCCAAAUCAUAACUUCAUUCAUUUGCAAAUCUAGAGCACAUAUAUCACGAUUUUCUAUCAUGAUUUGCAUUGAUAUAAGUAAGUAUAACACAUAUAUUUUACUCUUAACUUAGCCAUACAUUGCGGAUUUACUUAGUAGAUAGAGUAAUGUUUUUUUUUAAACAACAAAUUUUAUUCAUAAGCUAACCCAACACAAGAAGUGAAGAGGCUAGAGGAAACACACAAGACAACAGAUACAUAAAGACAACUAAACCACCCAAACAAUCCUUAAUACAAUAGAAUAACAUCAGAAAAACCAGCCACCUAAACUUCCUAGUACCAUGAAACAAUGUCAGGUCGCGUUGAUUUUUAGGCUGGAGGGCAAUGUUUGUUUCGGAAGUUCUCGACUUUCUUCAACAAAGGGUAGUGCUUUUUGCAGAAAUCGGGUAUAUGGGGUAUAUGUACUGGUUUAUCUUUUGGGAUUAAAUUUUUGAUUUUUGGGAUUAAUGCUUCAACUGCGGGACCAAAGCUAACAGCAUCAGCAAAAUGUUGUUGAGGAGCAAGCAUAAAAGCAGCAAGGAAUAACACUAAUAAGGAUAAGAAAAAUGAAUUAGCCAUUUUAAGAAGUGAUAUAAUUAUUAGUGUUGGUGCAUAAUACAUAUGGAGUAUACUGGUUUUAUACUAGUUAGAGACUCAAUGUGAGUUUAUGGUCAAUCUAAGUCAUGUACUAAAUGUCAAAAUUGUGUAUGAAUUGAAUUAUUCAACAAUGUUACAUGUUCCUUCCAUGUAUUUGCUACUAGUUGAUGAUCAGUCCCUACCUAUCCUUUAAUUUUCCACACAACAAGACCAUUCAGUAAUAUUGGCUCUAUCUCUCCACUUGUUUGCCCACCAUGGUUUAGCUGAAAAAACAGUGCAACUUGUUUCAAUAACAUUAAUAUAUAUAGAUAUUACUAUUUAUAUAUGCAUUGAACCCUGUAUGAUUUAUUUAUUUAUAAAAAUUCCAAAUAGGUUACUUUAUUUGUCAUUUAUGCUUGAAUAUGAAAAUACAAAACAGUGUUUUUUCUCAUUAAAAUUUUUACUAUAAAGAUUUUUAAUAACUUAGUGUUUACCAAUUGCACUUACUAAUUCUUAAUUAUAGAAUGAUGAUUAAAAAUUGUAUGUUUCAUAACUGUUUUUCAUCACAAGUUUAUAGUUCAUUUCUCAGACGUUAUUCCAAAUAACGUUUGAGAUUAUAGGUUAUCAUUUUAAUUUCAUGUUUACCUUUAUUAUUUUGUUUAAGAUUUAUUUUUAUCCUUUUUAAUAUAUACUAUUUAUAAAGAAAAUAUAGGGAUUUUGGGCUGACUUUUUUGUUAUUCCAAUUAUACCUUUAAAUAAAAAAAAAUCAAAUAAUGUGAUAUGGUUGGUGUUAAAUAAGAAUUUUUGUUAUAUUAUUGUUGUCAUUGAGAAUCAUAAAUAUUGUUUGUUGAGUUUGUUACAUUUGAAAGUCACAUAUCAUACUUUUAAUUUUUGUCCAUAUCAAAAAAUUUAUAUAAAAUAUCGUUUGUAAUUUACACGCAGAAUUUCAAUAAAUUAUCGUAAAUAAUUUAUACACAUUAACGUAAUAAAAAGAGCAGAAAGAUGAACAUGUGAAUGCUCGUCUUUAGUAAGUAAGAUUGUCUUAUAUACUUACAUUAUUUUAGGUCUAAAUUUCAGAAACCAUUAUUUGACAAUAUUUUUGACAAUUUUAUCUCACAUACUCACAUUAUAUUUUUACUUCUCUUUUUGUUGUUUUGGUUUUUAUUUUCAUACCUAAUUUUCCUUGUAAAUCUAUAGUUGUCUCAUAAAUUAUCGUUAAAAUUGUUGUUCAAAUAACACAACUCUUAUUUCUAAUACUCAAAAUUUGUUCAAAUUAAGUUUUUAAAGAACUUCUAAUAAAGUCAGAUUAAGGUUUUUUUGAACUUUUUAAAUACUUAAAUUGAAUUUUCUCCAAUAUACAUAUUAGAGAAAGAAAAAAAAUAAUGAUAGGAGGGAGAUGCAAAACUUAUGUUUUCUUUCUCUAGAAACAUAUUUUGAGUUUUCAAUAUCAUCAAAAUCUCAAAAUCAUAAACUUUAUUUAUUUGCAAAUCUAGAGCACAUAUAGCGCGAUUUUCUUUCAUAAUUUACAUUGAUAUAACACAUAUUAUGUUCUUACCUUGCCCAAACAUUCGGGAUUUAAUUGAUGAUGUAAAAGACGUUUUUAAAUGUAGAAUAAGAAAGAUGGAAAACCUCCAAGCCAAAUUAUACACAAGAUAUACAAAUUAUACACAAAAAUUUCAAAUUUCAAUUUUCUCGAGAGUAUUCUUAAAUGAUCAAUCAAUGAUUCAAUAUAAUCACAAUCUCAAAAUCAUAAACUUUAUUUAUUUUCAAAUCUAGAGCACAUAUAGCGGGAGGAGAUUGUCUCGUGUGAUUUUUCUCUCAUGUGUAAUCCAGACCCUCCAUUAAAUAUGUGAGAUAAUGUGUUUGUAAUAUAAAAUGACCGAACGCAAGAUAAAUUGUUUUUUUCUAAACAAUAAAUUUUAUUCAUAAGCAUUCCCGUGAGCUUAGCUCAGUUGGUACGGAUAUUGCAUUUUAUAUGCAGUGGCUGAG
Molecule: long non-coding RNA, 28250 nt
Filed under: Medicago truncatula (barrel medic)
Lineage: Eukaryota; Viridiplantae; Streptophyta; Magnoliopsida; Fabales; Fabaceae
Description: long non-coding RNA (MTRU_LNC000181)
Source: RNAcentral